UACGUCGGGAAGUGCAAAAGCAAAGGGACAGCAACUCGUUAAUAUUCGGAGUGAUGAAAGUUCAAGUUUUCCGCUGGCUCCCCGUGCUAUUUCUCCUGCUGGUCAGGACGGGGCCACGUGUCGCUGGCAGCUGGCGGAGCGAGAACUCCCGGGAGGAUCCGGACUCGAAAACACGGUGGGGCAAUCAGUUGCCGGAUAUGCUAGUCGCUUACUAUCGCCACCACGGCGUUCACAGCCUGAUGCUGGUCGUUUGUCACACGGACAUUGCGGACUCCCGCGUUUGGACGCUGUGGCAGCACUUCAACCUCAACGAUUUCUAUGUGCAGGUCAGUACGGCGACCUCGCUAAGGGACCUGCGACAUGUCGAUGUCCUGGAUGAGCAGAAGGACGCACCCCCGCCGAAGAGUUUCCAUGCCAACAACUCCACCCAUUGGGACACGUCCUUUCUACUCCCCAUGUUGUCCUACAAAAUGGGAAUCCUCUUCCUGGAAUUCAGCAGCGACUGUGCACUCAACCUACUUCGCUGGUCUGCCGCCUCGGAGCACAAUUACUUCACCACCAAUCGGUUCUGGCUGCUCCUUACCGAGGAUCCAGCAGAGAUCGAUUUGCUAGAGGAUCCCGAAAUAUUUAUUCCUCCGGACAGUGAGUUAAGGGUGCUUCACUAUGAAAACGAAGGCAACUUCUCGUCCAGCCUGAUCGAUCUCUACAAAGUGGCUGCAUGGAAACCUUUAAAGAAAACGUUGGUGGGACAUAACAUUCGGAAUCCGAGGCACAUGGUUCACGCCCUGCAGCGCUUUGGAUCGGCCAUAACUUAUCGGCAAAAUCUGGAAGGGAUUGUCUUCAACUCGGCCAUAGUUAUUGCCUUUCCAGAUCUGUUUACAACAAUCGAAGAUUUGUCGCUGAGGCACAUUGAUACCAUAUCAAAGGUUAAUCAUCGCUUGAUGCUGGAACUGGCCAAUCGCCUGAAUAUGAGGUAUGGCAAGAACUUCUUGGUAUAUUCAUAUUUUAGAUGAGAAAUUGAAAGGUACAUUUGUUGUAUUUUGAGGAUUAACUCCUUGUUUGAGAUCUUCAAAUGAGAUCUAUAUUACAUUAUAAAAUUGUCAUAACUAAUCUUGGGUCAGAUGUGGUUAAAGACUUGGUUGGUAAUUAAGCUGACAAAGCCUUUUCUAAAAGGAAUGUUUAUUCGGAAUCAUUGUAAUAUUAACGCCCAGACGUAUGCAACUAUAAUUAUCACAAUCUUUAUCAAAGUCAACAACAAGCGAAAGCUUUUAGCUGGGUCCAGAACAUCUUAUUCCUGCCGAUCAGCUGACGAUGACUACAUCACACCCAGUUUUGUUUUCUUCUGGUCCACGUCGGCUUAGCUCGCCAAGUGCUCUAAGUUUUCCCUAAUUUUCACUAGUAUUAUCUAAAGUUGAUCACAAAAAAUUGUCCCGACAGACCAAGGAAAAGAACAGAUUAGCGAAGACUAAGUGCCAUCCCUGAAUCGUCGUCAGUGAAGUUUUCCAUCAGAUAGGUUACAAAAUGGGGAACCCCACCAAUAUCUUGGAUUUACCAUUGGAGAUAUUGGAUCUUGUUUUCAAUAAGCUAACCUUUGAAAAUAAGAUAAAGCUGGGCCUAGCUGAUAAUAAAUUGGGAGCGGCAUUUGCCUAUCAUAGUCGAAAUGAAUAUAAAAAAAUUUCAUCUUGCAAUUUACCACUUGAGAAUUGGUCUGACUUCUUGUCGAUUUGUGGCUCAAUUGUUGACGAAGUGGACGUUAGUGGCUUAGACGUUCAAUAUUUGAAAUUGAUAGAGCAACAUUGUUGUAAUCUUAAGAUCAUAAGCAAACUCUACGUGAAAGAUAACAAAUGCUCUGCGACUAAAAACUUGAUCCGUGGUGUAAGGAAUCUAACGUCUCUGGAAAUAACGAUUACUAAUGAUGCCACAGCAGAAGUAGUUCUUGCUUUGCAAGAACUUCCAAAUUUAAAAAUAUUAAAUAUCGAAUAUUUGGGAGAAGGUCAAGAUGAUAGUUCGUCGGGAACUUUAAAGCACCCAUCGAGCUUGGAUCUAGCUGAGAUACACCAAUUGAUCAAUUUAGAAGAGUUGACAAUAGGCGCGACAUUUUCCAAUAUGUCACUUAACAUUAUAGAUCUUCCAUCAAAGUUAAAAAUGCUUCGUUCCCUAAAUUUAAACAAUUUAAUAAUUAGCUCUCCAAUUGAAAAAGUAGAUUUUAUUUGUCCAUCCCUAGAAGAGCUUAUCAUUAAUAGUUCACAAAUUGAAUUUGAGUUGCCAUACUGCCCAAAGCUUCGUUCUCUGAAAAUAUUGAGAUCAAAAUAUGUUUCGAAUAACCUUAAAUGGCUUUCAGAGCACACAAAAACUUUGGAAACACUUCAAGCAGAUGGGAGCAUAUUUCAGAAAAAUAUUUUAAGCAGUAUAUUUUUAUCGAAUAACUUUAAGACAUGGGAGUUUCCAAAUAUCCAAAAAUUAUAUAUUCAUGAUUCCGAUAUUAAAUUCCCAUUGCCAUUUUGUCCAAAAUUAAAAUCAUUGGAGCUAAACUCCACUUGCUUUUUUUCAAUGAACUUUUUCUUCAAAUGGAUUUCAAAACACGGAAAAACAUUACAAAAGCUAAAAAUAGGCAUUAAGUUAUUCAAAGACAAUUGUCGGUUGACUAAACUUUCAAAAAUUCAGAGUCAACAAUGGACAUUACCUGCGUUGGAAGAUCUCAAAAUUUCCUUUCACCUAAUCUCGUACGAUUUACCAUAUUGUCCAAACCUUAUGUAUUUGAAUUGUGAGUAUGCUGAAUGUCACUCAAUGGAUUACUUUUACAUGUGGCUUUUAAAACAUGCGAAUAAUUUGCAAAGCAUCGAAUUGACCGAAGAACUAUUUGAAGAAUCUGAAUUUCUUAAAUUUCUCUCAAGUUGCAAACAACUCAAAAAAUUUAGCAUUGAAACCAAAAUUUCGUACGAAUUUCUUAACUCAUUUAUAAAGAUAUUAAAGAAAAGUGGAGUCUCGUCAAAAGAUCCGUUCGAAAUUAUUGUUUCUCCAAAAGAAUUUCCGGAAAUAAAACGUAUGAUCGCUGAAUUACCAAACUCCGAAAUUUGUAAAUGCCUGAAAAGACGCAAUUACUUUGAAGAUCUUGAAAUGGAUUUUAGCUGUGAUGGCCCUUUAGAAGAUUUGACUAAACUAAUCUUAAAGACAUGUCAAAUAUAAUUUUAAAAUUAUACAUCAGUAAUUCAUUUUACUUAAGUCUUUUUCGGAACAAUUGCAUACUUGGUUAAAUUUAAAAUAUGAAUAUAAAUGUUACAAAAAUUUAAUCUAUAUUGGAAGUAUUGUUAAGUUAAUUUUAAAUAACUUGUUUCACGCUUAAUUUUCCCUCAUUAGUAAACCGCAGCAAUUUGGACGCUACCUAAUAAAGCGUGUAAAGAUUGAAACUGUU
RNA transcript from Drosophila subpulchrella, 3412 nucleotides. RefSeq lists it as uncharacterized. The transcript has 6 exons. The record is from RefSeq and is a predicted model, not a curated record. NCBI's taxonomy places the organism in Eukaryota, Metazoa, Arthropoda, Insecta, Diptera, Drosophilidae.